Molecule: long non-coding RNA, 431 nt
Filed under: Phoenix dactylifera (date palm)
Lineage: Eukaryota; Viridiplantae; Streptophyta; Magnoliopsida; Arecales; Arecaceae
Description: long non-coding RNA (PDAC_LNC019685)
Source: RNAcentral
CGAGCUCGGCUCGUUAGUCAAACGAGCCCGAGCCCGAGCCCAAAAAGAGGCCCGUUUAAAUCCGAGCCCGAGCCCAAGCUCGAGCCCGAGCAGCUCACGAGCCCAAACGAGCCCAAAUGAGGGUUCAGUCCAAUUCCAUUUAAUUUCUUAAAAUCAGAUUGAAUUAGUUCAAGUUUGGACUCAACCCGUUAACCCAAACCCAAUUCGUUAACCCAUUCCCUCCUCCUCCUCUUUCUUUUUCUUUUCCUCUCCUCUCUUCUGGGUUUCUCCAGUACCUUCCAGCCCCUCUUUCUUCUCCGUUUCUCCCCCUUUCUUUUCUUCUCUCUGCCGACUCCUCCACCGGCGACAUAGGAGGGGAGGAGAAGCACGGUGGGUAUGGGAAUCUGUACAGCCAGGGGUACGGCCUACAGGGUGGAGACGGCAGCCCUGAG